This 253-nucleotide ribosomal RNA is filed under the name uncultured bacterium. Its description in RNAcentral is "partial 16S ribosomal RNA". It matches the Rfam family "Bacterial small subunit ribosomal RNA", at positions 524 to 776 of the family's 1533-position model. The record is from RNAcentral.
UACGAAGGGUGCAAACGUUGCUCGGAAUUAUUGGGCGUAAAGGGCUCGUAGGCGGCCAACUAAGUCAGACGUGAAAUCCCUCAGCUUAACUGGGGAACUGCGUCUGAUACUGGAUGGCUUGGAUCCGGGAGAGGGAUGCGGAAUUCCAGGUGUAGCGGUGAAAUGCGUAGAUAUCUGGAGGAACACCGGUGGCGAAGGCGGCAUCCUGGACCGGUAUUGACGCUGAGGAGCGAAAGCCAGGGGAGCAAACGGG